This 64-nucleotide transfer RNA is filed under the name Otiorhynchus rugosostriatus. Its description in RNAcentral is "tRNA-Asp". Lineage: Eukaryota; Metazoa; Arthropoda; Insecta; Coleoptera; Curculionidae. The record is from RNAcentral.
AAAAAUUUAGUUAAACCCAUAACAUUAGCUUGUCAAGCUAAAAUUAUCCUAAAGAUAAUUUUUG